Molecule: non-coding RNA, 385 nt
Organism: Podarcis muralis (Common wall lizard)
Lineage: Eukaryota; Metazoa; Chordata; Lepidosauria; Squamata; Lacertidae
Source: RefSeq, a predicted model, not a curated record
AGCUCAGACACACAACUCAGAUACUGUUGUAACUCCCAACAACUAGUUGGGAAUUGUCGAAUAAUGUAUGGAGAGCACCAGGAAACCUGAUCCAAGUUAACUACAUAGAAAACCAGGACUACAAUCCUGAGCAUGUUUUACUUGAGUUUAACCCAUAGAGUUCAUUGGGACUGGUUUCAGAAAAGAUGAAAAGGAGUAUGCAUUGAAGCAGAUUGAAGGUACAGGGAUAUCCAUGUCGGCAUGUAGAGAAAUAGCACUUUUGCGAGAACUGAAGCACCCUAAUGUGAUUGCAUUACAGAAAGUUUUCCUUUCCCAUAGUGACAGAAAAGUGUGGCUGCUAUUUGAUUAUGCCGAACAUGAUUUGUGGGUAAGUUCAGAAUUUAUU